GACGAACGCUGGCGGCGUGCCUAAUACAUGCAAGUCGAGCGGAUCUUCAUUAGCUUGCUUUUGAAGAUCAGCGGCGGACGGGUGAGUAACACGUGGGCAACCUGCCUGUAAGACUGGGAUAACUUCGGGAAACCGGAGCUAAUACCGGAUAAUCCUUUCCCUCACAUGAGGGAAAGCUGAAAGACGGUUUCGGCUGUCACUUACAGAUGGGCCCGCGGCGCAUUAGCUAGUUGGUGAGGUAAUGGCUCACCAAGGCGACGAUGCGUAGCCGACCUGAGAGGGUGAUCGGCCACACUGGGACUGAGACACGGCCCAGACUCCUACGGGAGGCAGCAGUAGGGAAUCUUCCGCAAUGGACGAAAGUCUGACGGAGCAACGCCGCGUGAACGAUGAAGGCCUUCGGGUCGUAAAGUUCUGUUGUCAGGGAAGAACAAGUACCGGAGUAACUGCCGGUACCUUGACGGUACCUGACCAGAAAGCCACGGCUAACUACGUGCCAGCCGCCGCAGUAA
This 512-nucleotide ribosomal RNA is filed under the name uncultured bacterium. RNAcentral's name for it is "partial 16S ribosomal RNA". It matches the Rfam family "Bacterial small subunit ribosomal RNA", at positions 28 to 523 of the family's 1533-position model. The record is from RNAcentral.